This 573-nucleotide ribosomal RNA is filed under the name uncultured bacterium. RNAcentral's name for it is "bacterial SSU rRNA". It matches the Rfam family "Bacterial small subunit ribosomal RNA", at positions 400 to 973 of the family's 1533-position model. The record is from RNAcentral.
CGUGAAGGAUGAAGGUCCUCUGGAUUGUAAACUUCUUUUAUAUGGGACGAAAAAGGGCUUUCUAUCUCAACUGACGGUACCAUUUGAAUAAGCACCGUGCUAACUCCGUGCCAGCAGCCGCGGUAAUACGGAGGGUGCAAGCGUUAUCCGGCAUCACUGGGUUUAAAGGGUGCGGUAGUGGGUUGGUAAGUCAGUGGUGAAAUCCCCGAACUUAACUCGGGAACUGACAUUGAUACUAUCAGUCUUGAAUACCGUGGAGGUCAGCAGAAUAUGUCAUGUAGCGGUGAAAUGCUUAGAUAUGACAUAGAAUACCAAUUGCGAAGGCAGCUGGCUACCCGAAUAUUGACACUGAGGCACGAAAGCGUGGGGAUCAAACAGGAUUAGAUACCCUGGUAGUCCACGCCCUAAACUAUGGAUACUCGACAUAUGCGAUACACUGUAUGUGUCUGAGCGAAAGCAUUAAGUAUCCCACCUGGGAAGUACGAGCGCAAGGUUGACACUCAUAGGAAUUGGCGGGGGUCCGCACAAGCGGUGGAGCAUGUGGCUUACUUCGAUGAUACGCGAGGAACCUUA